RNAcentral lists this long non-coding RNA (248 nucleotides) under Ananas comosus (pineapple). RNAcentral describes it as "long non-coding RNA (ACOM_LNC008614)". Lineage: Eukaryota; Viridiplantae; Streptophyta; Magnoliopsida; Poales; Bromeliaceae. The record is from RNAcentral.
AGUGCGUACCGCCCUCGAACUCAUCGGUCCACCCACUAAGUCUACAGGGAUAAGCAGGAAUAGUAAAGAAAGCUGGAACAAAUCUACAGCUAAAUAUCGCUAUACUAUUAUGCUCUAACUUUAACCCUCUGUAGAACAAUGUCAACUCAGACCCAAUCUCAAAUAAGGACUGUAAUCAUACCCGUCUCUGGGACUGUGAACACACCCGUCCCGCCCGGUUUCGACUAUACAACUAUCUCCACACUAAC